This 1419-nucleotide ribosomal RNA is filed under the name uncultured bacterium. RNAcentral's name for it is "bacterial SSU rRNA". It matches the Rfam family "Bacterial small subunit ribosomal RNA". The record is from RNAcentral.
GUCGAGGGGCAGCGGGGGAGUAAGCUUGCUUAUUCCCGCCGGCGACCGGCGCACGGGUGAGUAACGCGUGUGCAACCUGCCCGGCACAGUGGGAUAAUCCGGAGAAAUCCGGUCUAAUACCGCAUGACGCGGGAAGGGCGCAUGCCUUUUCCGCCAAAGGAGGCGACUCCGGUGCCGGCUGGGCACGCGUGACAUUAGCUAGUUGGCGGGGCGACGGCCCACCAAGGCGACGAUGUCUAGGGGUUCUGAGAGGAAGGUCCCCCACACUGGUACUGAGACACGGACCAGACUCCUACGGGAGGCAGCAGUGAGGAAUAUUGGUCAAUGGGCGGAAGCCUGAACCAGCCAAGUCGCGUGAGGGAUGACGGCCCUACGGGUUGUAAACCUCUUUUGCCGGGGAACAAAARGCGGGACGCGUCCCGCAGUGGAGUGUACCCGGAGAMAAAGCAUCGGCUAACUCCGUGCCAGCAGCCGCGGUAAUACGGAGGAUGCGAGCGUUAUCCGGMUUUSSCSGGUUUVSVSGGUGCGUAGGCGGCGCCUCAAGUCAGCGCGUCAAACCGGGGGGCUCAACCUUCCGCCGCCGUUGAGACUGGGGCGCUUGAGUGGGCGAGAVGUGCGCGGAAUGCGUGGUGUAGCGGUGAAAUGCAUAGAUAUCACGCAGAACUCCGAUUGCGAAGGCAGCGCACCGGCGCCCAACUGACGCUGAAGCACGAAAGCGUGGGUAUCGAACAGGAUUAGAUACCCUGGUAGUCCACGCAGUAAACGAUGAGCACUAGCUGUCCGGGGGGAUUGUCUCCUGGGCGGCACAGCGAAAGCCCUAAGUGCUCCACCUGGGGAGUACGCCGGCAACGGUGAAAUUCAAAGGAAUUCACGGGGGCCCGCACAAGCGGAGGAACAUGUGGUUUAAYUCGAUGAUACGCGAGGAACCUUACCCGGGCUCAAACGGGACAGGAAAGKKKBUGAAAGGAGGCUGCUACGGGGCCUGUCCCGAGGUGCUGCAUGGUUGUCGUCAGCUCGUGCCGUGAGGUGUCGGCUUAAGUGCCAUMACGAGCGCAACCCCCACCGACAGUUGCUAACUGGUGAAGCAGAGGACUCUGUCGGGACUGCCGGCGCAAGCUGCGAGGAAGGCGGGGAUGACGUCAAAUCAGCACGGCCCUUACGUCCGGGGCGACACACGUGUYACAAUGGCGGCCACAGCGGGAAGCCAGGCGGCGACGCCGAGCGGAACCCGAAAAGCCGUCUCAGYUCGGAUUGGAGUCUGCAACCCGACUCCAUGAAGCUGGAUUCGCUAGUAAUCGCGCAUCAGCCACGGCGCGGUGAAUACGUUCCCGGGCCUUGUACACACCGCCCGUCAAGCCAUGGGAGCCGGGGGCGCCUGAAGUGCGUUACCGCGAGGAGCGCCCUAGGGCAAAACCGGUG